This is a transfer RNA of Methanoplanus limicola DSM 2279, 71 nucleotides long. It matches the Rfam family "tRNA". Rfam says of the family: Transfer RNA (tRNA) molecules are approximately 80 nucleotides in length. Their secondary structure includes four short double-helical elements and three loops (D, anti-codon, and T loops). Lineage: Archaea; Methanobacteriati; Methanobacteriota; Methanomicrobia; Methanomicrobiales; Methanomicrobiaceae. The record is from Rfam.
GCGAUAAUAGUCCAGCGGCAGGACAGUGGCUUCCCAAGCCUCUAACCCGGGUUCGAUCCCCGGUUAUCGCA